RNAcentral lists this ribosomal RNA (637 nucleotides) under uncultured fungus. Its description in RNAcentral is "eukaryotic LSU rRNA". It matches the Rfam family "Eukaryotic large subunit ribosomal RNA", at positions 145 to 793 of the family's 3401-position model. Lineage: Eukaryota; Fungi. The record is from RNAcentral.
GUAGUCUGUCGAAGCUCAGUCAACGCUAGCAGUAGGCUAAGUCCCUUGGAACAGGGCGCCUGAGAGGGUGACAGCCCCGUAUUUGCCGGCUGCUAUUGAAAACAGCGUGUACGACGAGCUUUCAACGAGUCGAGUUGCUUGGGAUUGCAGCUCAAAGUGGGUGGUAAAUUCCAUCUAAAGCUAAAUAACGGUGGGAGACCGAUAGCGAACAAGUACCGUGAGGGAAAGACGAAAAGAACUUUGAAAAGAGAGUUAAAAAGUACCUGAAAUUGCUGAAAUGGAAGCGUAGUGAAGCAGUGUUGGGUUGCAUUCAUAUCUUCGUCCGCUUGCGGGCGAGGUGACGUGGUGUGACCGAGUUAGGGUGGGUUUGUUGCGCGGGAGAGGGCUGCCAAGCUGACUCAGCGAGGUGGAGUACCUGUCGUGCGAUGGACCUGUCAUGUAUAUUCAUACCCCUGACGAAAUGCUUCUCUACAACCCGUCUUGAAACACGGACCAAGGAGUCUAACAUGUGUGCGAGUGCUCGGGGUGUUUAUCCCCCAGCGCGUAAUGAAAGUGAAGGCGGCUCUCGGGCCGCUGAGGUGAGAUCCCGAUCGGGUGCACCACCGACCGACCAUGCUUCUUCGGGAAAAAGGUUUGA